UACGGAGGGUGCAAGCGUUGUUCGGAAUCAUUGGGCGUAAAGCGCGUGUAGGCGGCUUUUUAAGUUUGGUGUGAAAGCCCGGGGCUUAACCCCGGAAGUGCACUGAAUACUGAUUAGCUAGAGGGUGAGAGAGGAUAGUGGAAUUCCUGGUGUAGGGGUGAAAUCCGUAGAUAUCAGGAGGAACAUCAGUGGCGAAGGCAGCCUUCUGGGCCAACACUGACGCUCAUGCACGAAAGCGUGGGGAGCAAACAGG
This 253-nucleotide ribosomal RNA is filed under the name uncultured bacterium. Its description in RNAcentral is "partial 16S ribosomal RNA". It matches the Rfam family "Bacterial small subunit ribosomal RNA", at positions 524 to 776 of the family's 1533-position model. The record is from RNAcentral.